UACGUAGGGGGCAAGCGUUGUCCGGAAUCAUUGGGCGUAAAGAGCGCGUAGGCGGCCCUGUAAGUCCGCUGUGAAAGUCAAGGGCUCAACCCUUGAAUGCCGGUGGAUACUGCAGGGCUAGAGUCCGGAAGAGGCGAGUGGAAUUCCUGGUGUAGCGGUGAAAUGCGCAGAUAUCAGGAGGAACACCGAUGGCGAAGGCAGGUCUCUGGGCCAUAACUGACGCUGAGAAGCGAAAGCAUGGGGAGCGAACGGG
RNAcentral lists this ribosomal RNA (253 nucleotides) under uncultured bacterium. RNAcentral describes it as "partial 16S ribosomal RNA". It matches the Rfam family "Bacterial small subunit ribosomal RNA", at positions 524 to 776 of the family's 1533-position model. The record is from RNAcentral.